UUUGGAUCGAUGAUGUCUUAGUUAAUUAUACUGCGUUAUCUAUCUGCAAAUCUCCUAUAUGGGUUUGAAGAUAAAACCAUUGAAAAACCUGAGAUCCAAU
Eutrema salsugineum is the source of this 100-nucleotide small nucleolar RNA. It matches the Rfam family "Small nucleolar RNA snoR27". The record is from Rfam. Lineage: Eukaryota; Viridiplantae; Streptophyta; Magnoliopsida; Brassicales; Brassicaceae.